UCAAGAACAGCUCAGUUGGUCGAGCAUCGGACUCUUGAUCUAAGGGUCACGGGUUCGAGCCCCACAUAGGGUGAAAAA
Molecule: non-coding RNA, 78 nt
Organism: Podarcis lilfordi (Lilford's wall lizard)
Lineage: Eukaryota; Metazoa; Chordata; Lepidosauria; Squamata; Lacertidae
Source: the annotation of a GenBank genome assembly